GCUUUAAACAUGGAUGUACUCCAGAUAGC
Molecule: non-coding RNA, 29 nt
Filed under: Mus musculus (house mouse)
Lineage: Eukaryota; Metazoa; Chordata; Mammalia; Rodentia; Muridae
Source: RNAcentral